RNAcentral lists this ribosomal RNA (250 nucleotides) under uncultured prokaryote. RNAcentral describes it as "partial 16S ribosomal RNA". It matches the Rfam family "Bacterial small subunit ribosomal RNA", at positions 524 to 773 of the family's 1533-position model. The record is from RNAcentral.
UACGUAGGGGGCAAGCGUUAUCCGGAUUUACUGGGUGUAAAGGGAGCGUAGGCGGCCUGACAAGUCAGGUGUGAAAGCCCGGGGCUCAACCCCGGGACUGCACUUGAAACUGCCUGGCUAGAGUGCGGGAGAGGCAAGCGGAAUUCCUGGUGUAGCGGUGAAAUGCGUAGAUAUCAGGAAGAACACCGGUGGCGAAGGCGGCUUGCUGGACCGAGACUGACGCUGAGGCUCGAAAGCGUGGGGAGCAAAC